UUAUUUGUCGGUAACUUGGAAGGAAAAAACAUAAAAACACCCACUUUAACAAAAAUCCUCGACCGACCGCGAACUGAAUGAUAAUUUUAUUUUUUUGAAUUUGGGAGUAGAAUUUGCGCGUGACUUUAAUAUUCAUUGUGAAUAAACUCGAAAAGUUGCUUAAUGAGUCAGAAUAUCCAACGUACUUGCGGAAUAAUAAAGGUGUUGAUAAAAAACUGGUUUUUGUGAUGUUGGGUGACUGUUAAUAAGGAAAUUAUUGUUAAAAAUCCAAAAAUUGUGCUCUUUACAACCAUAAAAUGAUGCUAUACGGUAAACAAAAUUGAAAUUAAAUAGAUUUUGUUAGAGAAUGAUCUCAUACAUGGAAAACCGCUGUAGGCAGGAAAAUUUGCAAAAAUAAUUUUCCUAUUGCAUCCUCUCUACAUCACACAAUUUUAAUUGUAUAUAUGACAAUACUUCAGGACGUGGGUUAUUUUUAGUAAUUUCGCAUCAGUUCAAGCUCAAGGUUGUCAAACACGCUAAUUUUUUUUUAUAUACUUGUCUUGUUUAUUAUCACUUUUAGAACUACAGUACAGCCAAAAACGGUUAUAAAACCUUCAACCAGCGAGGCUUAAGCAAUUACCCAAGAUGCAUAAUCCUAUCAAAAUACAACACAAUAGUCCCAUUGUCAAAACCUAAUUAAGUAAAUAAACAUUAUGUAAAUAAGAACAAUAGACAUCCCGAGAAAGGAAUACGCUGGAAAUCGUUGCCCAUCAGAACAAUUUCGCGAAAUUUCGAUGGCAAGAUAUUCGAUAAUAUGCAACUCGAUACGGACUUUGUAAUAUCAAAAUCCGUGCCGCAAGAUUGACGGCCUGGGAACAAAACAACUUAUUACCAUAUAGGAUAAUGAGAGAGUGUCUUUUAUGUACAAUAAAAGUCACCUUGAGAACUGUAUGUGCUAAGCAUUCUCUCUAAUUGUUAAUUUCUCAUCAGAUGCUUUGUACUUUUUCUUUGGAAAUUCAUGAUUUCUGUGAAUUGUGGUGAUUGUUAUUAACUUUUGUUGCUAGAUUGUAGUUUAAAUAAAGAUUAUAGCGGAUUAAAAUGGUUUAUUUGGGUGUGGAAUAUAAGGCAAGGUUUUUUCUAAAAAAAAUCCACAUAUCUAACAACAUUAUGCAUCAGAAGGAGAAACUUACCCCAAAGGCUCAUUUUAAAGAAAAGAAAAUUCCGAGUAGGAAAACCGUACUAGAAGAAAAACAACAACACAACGAACACCUGACGAAUGAAUGGCGAGCUGCGAGAGCGUGAAGUACCGGCUACCAGAGAUAUUGGAACGGGAACAAACAAAAAUUCCGUACCGUUUGUUCCAUAUCGGUUCAAUCGGAUUCGAUCUUACGUCAAUCUUGAGUAUAAUAUGAGCUGAUUUUGCGAAAAAGUACAUUUUUAAAAAUGAACCCAAUUUUCAUCUGAUGGCACACAUCAUUUUGAGUACUAGAGAGAGCAUUUUGAGUUGAGGAUUUAAGUAGUGCAGUUUUGGUUGGACCUUUUUUUAAAUUUCUUCCAUUUUUGAAACGAUGGAUGCUUACGGCAUAUUAUGCUAUUAGGGCUAUAAACAAAACACCCUCCCUCUGGUCAGCUAAUAGGUAGAUUUAUUAAUUUUUCCCAUGCAAGCAGACCUCACUAUUUUUUACCAAAACAGUCGAGAUCCACCAUACUCAACAAGCAUUAUUAGAAAUAAGUAUGUCAUUAUAAUUGUAUAACAACAUGUAAAUAUUAUACAAUUUUCCGCAUUACAGCAUGAAAUAAAAGUACAGGCGAUCCUUUGUGCUACUUAAUAUUGUACCAUUAAAAAUAAUAAUUCAAUAUAAUUGUCUGGGUGCACGACUAUUAUUGGAAUAAUGUAAUAAAUAUAUAUAGAUAAUAUUGUGGUAUUUUAACAGCAAGACCAACCUAUGCUUGCUAAAAACCCAAUAAAAUACAUACAUACAGUUAUUAUUGACAGCCUGACAUGAAUCAACCAUUAUGUCUUAUUAUUUACCUGUAUCAACACUUACAAAGACGUUUUACGUAAUUUGUUUGAAGUACGCCUACACACUCUCUUACUUUGGUGUUGGGCGUGGGUUUUUUUUAUUAUUAUAAAAUGCCUAUUCGAUUUUCCGGCUACGUAAAAAUUUUCUUAUUAAAGAUGUGAAAAAAAAAUCAUUUUUUUUUUUUAAUCUACUGAGCCAUCAGAGUUUUUAAUACCCCCAGAACAUUUCUGCCAUAAUGCAUUUCAUGAUGCCUUAAAGGUUAACCUGGUAUUUAUUUACUGUCAUAAGCAGAUUGCACGAUACCAUUCUAAAUGCGGGUGGAGCAACGUGAAAAACGAUUUUAAAUUUCGUGACCUUUUUAUGAUGGAAUGUUAUGGUUCAGUAACAACAUUUAUUUUUUUAAACCUAAAUAAAAUAUAUAAGUGGUGUUAGGUAUCUGUAAUGAACUAAAAAUAAAUUCUUACCUUAAAAACAAUAUGUACUUACCUUUUUUUUAUCAGAGACACUUAAUAUUUAUCACUUUUUUAUGAACUGUCCAAAAUAAUAGAUUAUUUUUGAAAAAAUACUUGAAAAUGAUAUGGGUAUACAUUUUGUCAAAUUUAUGAAUCACAUGUGUGAGAAAAACUUGUGUAUUCCAAGGUAAUAUUUUUUAAUAACAUCAUAACACUACAUUUUAACAAUUUAUUACAAAUGAAACCAGUUUCAUAAAAAUGUUACAGGUUAAGAAAUACACAACAAUAAAGGGUACAGCAUACACAGUUGGAAGUUUAAAUCUCUUUUUUUGUUACUACCAGUGUGGAAGAAAAUUGGCUGAUGUAUAUAUAAUUUAUAUAGUAUUUAAAAAUGCUAUAAUUUUAAUUACAAGAAAAAAAAACAAACAAAAGACCAAUUUUUUUUUCAAUUAUGAGGUAUUUUACCCUGUGUGGGGUGUAGCAUGUACAACUAAUUUUAGUGAAAUUAAAACUCUCCAAAAUUG
This is a long non-coding RNA of Anthonomus grandis grandis, 2979 nucleotides long. RefSeq lists it as uncharacterized. The record is from RefSeq and is a predicted model, not a curated record. Lineage: Eukaryota; Metazoa; Arthropoda; Insecta; Coleoptera; Curculionidae. The transcript is spliced from 3 exons.